CCUACGGGAGGCAGCAGUGAGGAAUAUUGGUCAAUGGGCGCGAGCCUGAACCAGCCAAGUAGCGUGAAGGAUGACUGCCCUACGGGUUGUAAACUUCUUUUAUAAAGGAAUAAAGUGAGGCACGUGUGCCUUUUUGUAUGUACUUUAUGAAUAAGGAUCGGCUAACUCCGUGCCAGCAGCCGCGGUAAUACGGAGGAUUCGAGCGUUAUCCGGAUUUAUUGGGUUUAAAGGGAGCGUAGGUGGGUUGUUAAGUCAGUUGUGAAAGUUUGCGGCUCAACCGUAAAAUUGCAAUUGAUACUGGCAGGCUAGAGUGCAGUUGCGGUAGGCGGAAUUCGUGGUGUAGCGGUGAAAUGCUUAGAGAUCACAAAGAACACCGAUUGCGAAGGCAGCUUACUAAGCUGCCACUGACGUUGAUGCUCGAAAGUGUGGGGAGCAAACAGGAUUAGAUACCCCUGUAGUC
Molecule: ribosomal RNA, 460 nt
Filed under: uncultured bacterium
Lineage: Bacteria
Description: partial 16S ribosomal RNA
Rfam family: Bacterial small subunit ribosomal RNA
Source: RNAcentral